AGAGAGAGAGAGUAGUGCAGUGGUUAUCUUCAUGAUCUGAGCGAGAGAGAAUGUGCUACGGUAGUGGCAAGAUCUGAGCAAGAGAGAGGAUGGUGUAGCGGCUACCUUCAAGAUCUAAGCGAGAGAGAAGGUGGUGCGGCGACAAGGUCUGAAGAGGGUGGUGUGGCUACUUUCAAGAAUGAGAGAGAAGGUGCUAUAGCGGCGGCAAGAUUUGAGCAAGAGAGAGGGCGAUGCAAUGACUACCUUCAAGAUUUGAGCGAGAGAAAGAGGUGCGGCGGCCAGAUUUGAGCAAGAGAGGCAGAGAAGAGAGAAAUAAUUUCGGUCUAACCCUAAUCUAAAUGACCCUUUUUCUCCUAAUUUGCCAUUCAAUGGGUAAUUUGGUCAUACAAAUUGCUAUUUAUGCUGAUAUGGUCAUUUAUGUUAAGAAAGAUUAACGGAAAGUGAGUUUCGGAAAAUUCGUGUGGAGUGUAGACUGACGUGUCCGGCAGGGAUGGAAGAGAGGCUGUGGAACGUGGGCAACAAAAUUUUUCCAUUGAUUCACGGGAGACAGAUGAUGACAUGACAGUUGGUGAAAGAAGAAGAAAUUGGGUCUGUAUUAGUAUUACCAUUGUUGCCUGCUGAAGCACGCACUCGCUGAAAGAGAGAGAUUCCAGUCUCCACUAAGCUAUAAGCAGUCGGCGUGGAAAUGAUGACCUUCGAGAACAACAGAAGCCAAGCAACAACCACACUUGCCCUAAGGAGGAGGCCCAGCAAACAACAAUGGCGGACAUUCAUUCUUCAACGUCUACACGACUUGUCUCGUCUACUACGUACAAAGCAACAGAAGAUUGCUCAAUCAUCCAUCCCAAAAGCGAUCUUAUUUUUUUAUAUUUAUUUCUAGGGAAAAAGUGGCGAUGAUGAUGAUGAUAAGAUGGAACAAGGGCUGGAGGUGGAGGUGGAGGUGGAGACCUAUUAGCUAUAAGCAACAGCAACUACAGCGCAAAGCUGAAAGCUCUGGCUUCGGAAUUAAGAGGAUUGAAGAACAGAAAAUAGCAGCACUGUUGAACUGCAGGCUUUGGUUGACUCGAAUACCUUAUCUACUCUGUCUGUCUACCUUCGUUACUCAAUCCUUGGUUCUUACCCCUUCAAAUGUCCGACCCUCCCUGGCUCGUUCUUAUCUCUUCAUUUGCUACUUCAUCACCUUUUUCUUUCUCCUUUAGGCCUUUUUAAUUCCUAGAUGUGGCGCUACUCAAUUAGGUAACUUUCUAUUCCCUUUUACUCAAUCUUCUCAAGGCAGAAAAAAAAAGGCUCUUCCUCUUCUCUUUCUUCAACUUUUAAGCGUUUUCAUUUGGUUGGGUUCGGUUUAAUUUAUUAUUUCCUCACUCGGGUAGAGCUUGAUCCUGCUUAGCUUUUACAAUUCAGAAUUAUUCGCUAUUAUUGUGAGCGGUGAUCUUUUGGGUGGGUCGAAUUAGUGUUGUUUCUUCUUGAACUUGCUUUGGAAUUGAGUUUUCUAAGUUGUUUUCAUGGAAGAUUCCUCAGUCAUACGGUUGCAGACUUGCAGUUCUUUGAUUUGGGUAUGUGAUUUUGCACCUCAUCCCUUCUGCUUUUCCAAUGAUCAAUUAACUGUUUUCUGAUGAUUGGUUGUCUUGAUCAUACUUAAACUUGUCCUUGAUUUACUUGUUUCUGUGGGUUAUAGUCCCUCUACUCUUGGUCACUCACAACCCCUGCAUUUCUUGAUUCAGGACUAUGACAUAUCCCCCAAUCGAGAGAACAAAACUUUCAAUCGUUGUGAAGACUGUCAACAUGUUCCCACUGUGCUGUGUGUCCCUGUCUUUUGACUCUAGAACAGUAGAUGCUAGGACCAAAGGCGAGAAUUUGAUCCCGUCUCCUCAUUUCUUUCCCUACUCUCGCUUCUUUCCUCUGUUUGUCCAGGAAAUGGCAACCCAUAGGACCUCUGCUCGUGUUGGAAGUCAUUUUCUCUUAGUUCUUGCCAUUUGUUACUGCUUUAUCUUCGCAAGUUCACUGAACGAAGACGGGAGUGCACUUCUGGAAUUCAGAAGGAGCCUUAUUGGCAAUAGUAACAACAACAAUUUCCUAAACUGGAGUUUAGGAGAUUCAACUCCUUGUAAUUGGACGGGUAUAGAAUGUACUGGCUCUGAGGUAACAUCUGUAAAUCUCAGUGGCUUCAAUUUGUCUGGUAAGUUGUCUUCCAGUAUCUGUAAACUUCCUCAGUUAACUGCGUUAAACUUAUCAGAUAAUCUCAUCUCUGGUCCUUUAAUUAAGGAACUGGGUAAUUGUGGGAAUCUUGAGAUUUUGGACCUUGGCACAAAUAGGUUACACGGAGAAAUACCAAUAGAGAUGUUCCAAUUGUUCAAUCUAAGAAUUCUCUCUCUUAGUGAGAACUAUCUGUAUGGUCAAAUUCCUACUGAUAUUGGAAAUUUGAUGCAUCUCGAAGAACUUGUCAUUUAUAGCAAUAACCUCACUGACACAAUUCCUUCAUCGAUUGGAAAGUUGAAAAACCUUAGGAUCAUCAGGGCAGGUCUAAACUUCCUCUCGGGCCCAAUACCUGUAGAAAUCAGUGAAUGCCAUAACCUGGAGAUUUUAGGGUUGGCACAGAAUAAGCUUGAAGGUUCUAUUCCCAGGGAGAUCCAAAAGCUUAAGAAUCUAACCACAUUGAUUCUUUGGCAGAACCAUUUAUCUGGGGAGAUUCCUCCUGAGCUUGGGAACUGCAGUAGCCUGGAGUUGCUUGCUUUGAAUGACAAUGCUUUCACUGGAAGCAUUCCAAAGGAGCUUGGGAAAUUAUCCCGGUUGAAAAAGUUAUAUUUGUACACCAACCAAUUUACUGGAACAAUUCCGCGAGAACUAGGAAACUGUAGAAGUACAGUUGAGAUUGACCUUUCUGAGAAUCGAUUAACAGGUUUCAUUCCCAAGGAGCUAGGUCAGAUUUCAAAUCUUCGCCUACUUCAUCUUUUUGAAAACCUUCUACAGGGAAGCAUUCCUAGAGAGCUUGGAUGGUUACAACAGUUGAGGAAUUUAGAUUUGUCCAUCAAUAAUAUGACAGGUACAAUUCCUUUAGAGUUUCAGAACCUUACCUGUUUGGAGGAUCUGCAACUCUUUGACAAUAAGCUUGAAGGUACCAUUCCUCCUCUUAUUGGGGCCAACAGCAAUCUCUCUGUCCUUGACAUGUCUGAAAACAAACUUGUAGGUAACAUACCAGCAAAUCUUUGUAAAUUACAUAAGUUAAUGUUCCUGAGCCUUGGGUCAAAUAUGUUGUCUGGUAACAUUCCGUAUGGGCUAAAAACAUGCAAGUCUCUUGUACAACUAAUGUUGGGAGAUAACCAACUAACAGGAAGCCUUCCUAUUGAAUUGUCGAGACUUCAGAAUCUUUCUGCACUGGAGUUGUAUCAAAACCGAUUUUCAGGGCCUAUACCCUCAGAAAUUGGUAAGCUUAAAAAAUUUGAGAGACUCCUCUUGUCAAACAAUUACUUCUUUGGCCAUAUCCCCCCUGAGAUUGGAGAACUGGCACAGCUUGUGAUCUUAAAUAUUUCUUCUAACCAACUAUCUGGUAGUAUCCCUCAUGAGUUGGGAAACUGUAAAAAGCUCCAGAGGCUUGAUCUUAGCAGAAACCACUUCACAGGCUACGUACCAGUGGAACUUGGCAAUCUAGUGAAUCUAGAACUGCUGAAGCUAUCUGAUAACAGACUGAAUGGAGGGAUACCGACUACUUUAGGAGGUCUGCACCAUCUUACAGAGUUGCAAAUGGGAGGGAAUUAUUUGUCUGGCACUAUCCCCAUUGAGCUAGGUCAACUUUCUGCUCUUCAGAUUGCUCUUAACAUUAGCCAUAAUGCUCUUUCUGGGGAAAUUCCAGGUGAUCUAGGAAACUUGCAGAUGUUGGAAGCCCUUUAUUUGAACAACAACCAGCUGGUUGGUGAGAUACCUGCUUCAAUUGGUACACUGUUAAGUCUCAUUGUCUGCAACCUUUCUAAUAAUAACUUGGUUGGAAUAAUACCCAACACUCCUGCUUUCCGUAAAAUGGAUUCCAGCAACUUUGUUGGAAAUAUUGGCUUGUGCAGAGCAGGGUCAAAUAUUUGUCAUCCAUCUUCACCUCCAUCUUCUACCACACAUGCAAAUUGGUUACAAGAGGGUUCAUCAAGGGAGAAAGUAGUGAGCAUUACUUUAGCGGUUGUUGGAUUAGUUUCGCUGGUUCUUACUAUCAGUAUUUGCUGGGUUAUAAAGCACCGUGAACGUAUUUUUGUUUCCCAUGAAGAUCAAAUGAGUAAUGAUGUGGCUGAUAACUAUUAUUUUCCCAAAGAAGGUUUCACAUAUCAGGACAUCUUGGAAGGCACUGGUCAUUUUUCGGAGACUGCGGUUAUAGGGAGAGGGGCUUGUGGCACAGUUUACAAGGCUGUGAUGUCUAAUGGCAAGCAUAUUGCUGUUAAAAAGCUGAAAUCCAGUGGAGAAGGGUCGAAUGUUGACAGAAGCUUCCUUGCUGAGAUAUCAACAUUAGGAAAGAUUGGGCACCGCAAUAUUGUGAAGCUCUAUGGCUUUUGUUACCACCAAGAUGCUAACAUUCUCUUGUAUGAGUAUAUGGCGAAUGGGAGCCUAGGAGAACACCUCCAUGGCAAUGGAAAAACAUGUUCGCUUGACUGGAACACUAGAUAUAAGAUUGCUCUUGGUGCAGCAGAGGGUUUAUGCUAUCUCCACUAUGACUGCAAGCCUCAAAUUAUUCAUCGAGAUAUAAAAUCAAACAACAUAUUACUAGAUGAUUCCCUAGAGGCUCAUGUUGGGGACUUUGGUUUGGCAAAGUUGAUCGACUUUCCAUUCUCAAAAUCCAUGUCUGCUGUUGCAGGUUCAUAUGGCUAUAUCGCUCCAGAGUAUGCUUACACAAUGAAAGUCACAGAGAAAUGUGAUAUCUAUAGUUUUGGGGUUGUUUUACUGGAAUUAAUUACUGGUAGAUCUCCUGUUCAACCCCUCAAUCAAGGAGGAGACCUGGUCACAUGGGUGAGAAGAUCAAUACAAAAUAAAGUGCCAACAUCUGAUAUAUUUGAUGAACGGCUGGAUCUUAGCAGAAGGAAAACAGUAGAGGAGAUGUCUCUAGUUCUCAAGAUUGCUUUGUUUUGCACUAACACAUCCCCAGUCAAUAGACCAACCAUGAAAGAGGUCAUUGCUAUGUUGCUAGAUGCUAGGGAGGCCUCAUGCAACUCUCCAUCAUCUCCAACGUCUGAAACCCCUUUAGAUGAAGAGGCUGCUUCCAGAGGUUGAAAGAGGAAAGGGAGAACAAGUGUACAAGAGUUAAGGGUUGGCUUAAAUUGCAAGCCACGAGAUUGUAGAGAGUCAUAAACUAUACUUUCUUCAAGUGGAGGAAUACAUAAUUCAAUACUAAUAUUUAUUCUUCUACACAUUGAUGUAGCUAUGCCAUUCAUAGAGAAAAGCAUAUUGAUCUUACUUUUUUGUGGUAUGGAUUAAAAGAUAACAUUAGUCAUUUCCUCUCCUCUUUUCAAUUCUAAUGACUACUUCUGUCAUUCUCCCAACCCGAGAAGUCUACAACCAUGGUAGCUACUAUAUAAUCCUUCAAAAUCUUAGUUGUCAUGAAGCAAGCAUUUAAUGAUCAUGGCCAUUAUGUCUUUGAUGAUUGUCCAAAGUUUUGUAGGAAUUUUCUUUCUCAAAACUUGUAUUCUCUUGCUAAUGUAUCUUGGGAAAACAUGCAUUUGAUAAGAAGGGACAAGCUCUAAUUUUUUUCA
This is an RNA transcript of Nelumbo nucifera (sacred lotus), 5720 nucleotides long. It is a transcript of the gene named Leucine-rich receptor-like protein kinase family protein, with no coding region annotated. The record is from RefSeq and is a predicted model, not a curated record. Lineage: Eukaryota; Viridiplantae; Streptophyta; Magnoliopsida; Proteales; Nelumbonaceae.